GGAAGUGAAUAAGGGCGUAUGGGGGAUGCCUUGGCUCCCGGGGGCGACGAAGGACGUGGUAAGCUGCGAAAAUGCGCGGGGAGGUGCAAACGACCGUUAAUCCGCGCGUGUCCGAAUGGGGAAACCCCACAGAUUGAAGGUCUGUGAACAAUAGUUGCCAACCUCCCGAACUGAAACAUCUAAGUAGGGAGAGGAAAAGAAAACAAAAGUGAUUCCGUAAGUAGUGGCGAGCGAACGCGGAAGAGGCCAAACCUUAAUACGUGUAUUAAGGGGUUGUAGGACUGCGUCGUGGAAGAUGAUUAUAUAGAAGAAUGUUUUGGAAAAGACAACCACAGAGGGUGAAAGUCCCGUAUUCGGAAUGUAAUCAUUACCUAGCAGUAUCCUGAGUAGGGCGGGCCCGGAGAAACCCUGUCUGAAUCUGGCAGCACCAUCUGCCAAGCCUAAAUACCACCGGGAGACCGAUAGCGUACAAGUACCGUAAGGGAAAGGUGAAAAGAACCUCGAGAAGAGGAGUGAAAAGACCCUGAAACCAUACGCCUACAAGCGGUUGGAGCUUCACCCUUUAGGGGGUGGGGUAACAGCGUGCCUUUUGCAUAAUGAGCCUACGAGUUACUCCUCACUGGCAUGCCUAAGCGCUUCAGGCGCGGAAGCAGAGCGAAAGCGAGCCUUAACAGGGCGAUUUUGUCAGUGGGGGUAGACGCGAAACCGAGUGAUCUACCCAUGGGCAGGUUGAAGUUCCGAUAGUCUCGGAAUGGAGGACCGAACCCGUAAACGUUGAAAAGUUUUGGGAUGACCUGUGGGUAGGGGUGAAAGGCCAAUCAAACUCGGAGAUAGCUCGUACUCCCCGAAAUGCAUUUAGGUGCAGCGUCGUGGAAUAUGUGUUGGAGGUAAAGCUACUGAGAAGGCUAGGGGGCUUCACCGCCUACCAACCCUUAACAAACUCUGAAUGCCAACACAUAGUAACGGCAGUGAGCCCUGGGGUGCGAAGGUCACAGGGCGAGAGGGGAACAACCCAGACCAACAGCUAAGGUCCCUAAGGAUCGCUAAUUCGCAGGAACGAGGUGGGGGCGCAGUGACAGCUAGGAUGUUUGCUUGGAAGCAGCAAUUCAUUUAAAGAGUGCGUAACAGCUCACUGGUCGAGCGCCCCUGCGCGGAAAAUAAACGGGCGUCAAGCGAUACACCGAAGCUUUGGAUUCGAAAGAGUGGUAGGGGAGCAUUCCAAACCGUUGAAGCGGUUGCGUGAGCAACCGUGCAGGUUCUGGAAAAGCAAAUGUAGGCAUAAGUAACGAUAAAUGGCGUGGAAAACGUCAUCGCCGUAAGACCAAGGGUUCCUGAUCUACGUUCAUCGGAUCAGGGUUAGUCGGGGCCUAAGGAUAAGCCGCGAGGCGAAGCCGAUGGGAAACGGGUCAAAAUUCCCGUACCGGCCUGUAUUGUGAAGCGGGGACGGGGUUGUGAAAGUGGUGCGUUGUUACGGAAUACAACGUUGAAGUCCCGAGCGAUCGGGACGAUAGUACCGCAAUACCUUCGGGUUGCGCGGAUAAUCCACCGUAGGGACCUCCAGGAAAAGCCGCUGAAACUUCAGAUACAUGCCGCCCGUACCGUAAACCGACACAGGUGGUCGAGGAGAGCAUCCUCAGGCGCUCGAGUGAUUCGUGGCUAAGGAACUAGGCAAAAUGGCCCCGUAACUUCGGGAGAAGGGGCGCCCCCUGCAAGGGGGGCCGCAGUGAAGAGGCCCAGGCGACUGUUUAGCAAAAACACAUGGCUAUGCGAAAUCGGAAGAUGAUGUAUAUGGCCUGACACCUGCCCGGUGCCGGAAGGUUAAGGAAGGGGCUUAGGAGCAAUCCGAAGGUCUUGACUGAAGCCCCGGUAAACGGCGGCCGUAACUAUAACGGUCCUAAGGUAGCGAAAUUCCUUGUCGGGUAAGUUCCGACCUGCACGAAUGGUGUAACGAUCUGGGCACUGUCUCAGCCACGAGCUCGGUGAAAUUGAAGUAUCGGUGAAGAUGCCGAUUACCCGCAACGGGACGGAAAGACCCCGUGAACCUUUACUGCAGCUUUGCAUUGGGCUUGGAUAUUCGAUGCGUAGGAUAGGUGGGAGGCUUUGAUCCGGGCGUUCUGGCGUCCGGGGAGUCGACGUUGAAAUACCACCCUUUGGUUAUUUGAGUCCUAACGCCUAUUUAUUAGGCAGACAGUGCAUGGCGGGCAGUUUGACUGGGGUGGUCACCUCCAAAAGUGUAACGGAGGUUUGCAAAGGUGCCCUCAGUACGGACGGUAACCGUACGCAGAGUGUAUUAGCACAAGGGCGCUUGACUGAGAGACCGACGGGUCGACCAGGGCCGAAAGGCGGCUAAAGUGAUCCGGCGAUCCCGCAUGGAAGGGUCGUCGCUCAAAGGAUAAAAGGUACUCCGGGGAUAACAGGCUGAUCUCCCCCAAGAGCUCAUAUCGACGGGGAGGUUUGG
This 2458-nucleotide ribosomal RNA is filed under the name freshwater bacterium LH6-2. Its description in RNAcentral is "bacterial LSU rRNA". It matches the Rfam family "Bacterial large subunit ribosomal RNA", at positions 1 to 2521 of the family's 2925-position model. The record is from RNAcentral.